This 133-nucleotide ribosomal RNA is filed under the name uncultured bacterium. Its description in RNAcentral is "partial 16S ribosomal RNA". It matches the Rfam family "Bacterial small subunit ribosomal RNA", at positions 1360 to 1501 of the family's 1533-position model. The record is from RNAcentral.
CGGUGAAUAUGUUCCCGGACCUUGCACACACCGCCCGUCAAGCCAUGGAAGCCGGGUGUACCUAAAGUCGGUAACCGUAAGGAGCCGCCUAGGGUAAAACUGGUGACUGGGGCUAAGUCGUAACAAGGUACCC